RNAcentral lists this unclassified non-coding RNA (889 nucleotides) under Bombus terrestris (buff-tailed bumblebee). Its description in RNAcentral is "misc RNA ENSBTSG00005030581.1". Lineage: Eukaryota; Metazoa; Arthropoda; Insecta; Hymenoptera; Apidae. The record is from RNAcentral.
UAUUUUCACAAAAAAAUUAAGAUUUCUUUAUAAUAGGUGUAUAUAACCUAUGUAACGCAUCGCAUUGAGUGCAUUACUCCUAUUAAUCGUCUUUCAUUAAUGGCACUUAGCGUACCAACUAAAUUGGUUUUGUCCGCGGGCAUAAAACAUGAUAUAUAUGCGAAUAUAACUUUCUCUCUCCAUCAUACCGACGAAAAAAACUUAUUACUGAGUUUAGUUAUUUUCUUCAACAAAUAAAUCAUAUUUGAAAUAUAAGAAAAUAUAUUGUAAAUAACUUUAGUCACUAUUUAUGUAUUGCAGAGUUUUAUUUAUCUUCAUUUUAAGAUACAAUAUGUCAGAGAUUAUAAGAUGUAACUUGUGAUAUUGAUGCAACAUAUGCUGGCCAUAUUCAGAGUGAGGUGACAGAAAAAGUAAUAGCCACAUCAAGUAUUAAUUAUAAUUAACAUUCCGUGCAGCAGAAUGUAUGAACAGAAUUAACGAUAAUAUAAAAUCGAUCAUAUUAUACAUGUAUGAAAAGACGAGUUGAUAUCUAUUUAGAAAAUGUGAAUAUAAUUAUAGACAAUAGGAAUACAUGAAAAUUGUAUAAAUAACAGACAACAAUAAACUUGCUCACUAUAUAUGAACAAAUAUUGUGGAAGAUUUUUGUAGGCACAUUAUUUCUUUAAAUACGAUUGUAUAAAAAAUAUAGUUUAGUUAUUUUAAUAAAGGCAGAUCAGUUAAGGCUGCAUUUUCUAAUGUAAUUAGUAAGUGCAAUUUGUUACGUUUAAUUAUGUUUCUUUGGGAAUGAACAUGGUUUUUAAUUAACGAUAUAAGAAAAAUUAUAUCAAAAGUUAUCUAGUAAAUAGUAAAAAGUUAUUUAAAAAAUCGGUGCAUAUAUUCCUUAUUCUGA